AGUGGCGCACGGGUGAGUAACACGUGGGCAACCUGCCCUGGAGACCGGGAUACCCUCUCGAAAGGGAGGCUAAUACCGGAUACGUUCCCCGGACCGAAAGAUCUGGGGAGGAAAGGUGGCGCAAGCUGCCGCUCUUGGAGGGGCUCGCGGCCUAUCAGCUAGUUGGUGAGGUAAUGGCUCACCAAGGCUAUGACGGGUAGCUGGUCUGAGAGGACGAUCAGCCACACGGGGACUGAGACACGGCCCCGACUCCUACGGGAGGCAGCAGUGGGGAAUUUUCCGCAAUGGGCGAAAGCCUGACGGAGUGACGCCGCGUGGGGGACGAAGGCCUUCGGGUUGUAAACCCCUGUCAGAGGGAAAGAAGGGUGUCGGCGCGAUAACCGCCGGCACCUGACGGUACCUUCAGAGGAAGCCCCGGCCAACUCUGUGCCAGCAGCCGCGGUAAGACAGAGGGGGCUAGCGUUGCUCGGAAUUACUGGGCGUAAAGGGCGCGUAGGCGGGGCGGCAAGUCGGUCGUGAAAUCCUCCGGCUCAACCGGAGAACGUCGGCCGAAACUGCCGUUCUUGAGGGAUGCAGAGGAGAUUGGAAUUCCCGGUGUAGCGGUGAAAUGUGUAGAGAUCGGGAGGAACACCGGUGGCGAAGGCGGGUCUCUGGGCAUCUCCUGACGCUGAGGCGCGAAAGCGUGGGGAGCAAACGGGAUUAGAUACCCCGGUAGUCCACGCUGUAAACGAUGACGACUAGGUGUGGGGGGGGUUCAGUCCUUUCCGUGCCGCAGCUAACGCAUUAAGUCGUCCGCCUGGGGAGUGCGGCCGCAAGGUUGAAACUCAAAGGAAUUGACGGGGGCCCGCACAAGCGGUGGAGCAUGUGGUUCAUUUCGAUGCAACGCGAAGAACCUUACCUGGGCUU
Molecule: ribosomal RNA, 906 nt
Filed under: uncultured bacterium
Lineage: Bacteria
Description: bacterial SSU rRNA
Rfam family: Bacterial small subunit ribosomal RNA
Source: RNAcentral